This is a long non-coding RNA of Paramacrobiotus metropolitanus, 739 nucleotides long. RefSeq lists it as uncharacterized. The transcript is spliced from 3 exons. NCBI's taxonomy places the organism in Eukaryota, Metazoa, Tardigrada, Eutardigrada, Parachela, Macrobiotidae. The record is from RefSeq and is a predicted model, not a curated record.
ACGCCAAUCGGCCAGUAUGAAUACGGCAUGAUCACGAUUUUUAACGGGCCUUCAAUGGCCACGUAGAGAGCAUUGCUGAAGAGCAACCGAUUUCACAUCAUUACAGUAUCACAAUGUUUACUUACAUGCCCUCCCACGAAGUUGGGUAAUUCAACAAAUAAAUAUGAAGAAGCGAGCCACAUUACGAUCCGUAUCAUCAGAUGCUGCGCCCCGAAAAAACCCAUCAACUAACGAAGCUCGAGCUCGCAGAGCGCCUCCUCACCAACGGAAAAGGUCGAUCGCGACCGUUUGUAGCAGCGACCUUGCUUACUCUGGAUUUGGGAUCAUUGGGAUUUCGGCGAAGAUGUUUGGGCUUCUUAUCAGUUACGUCAUUCUGAUCAUGCAGACCGGAGAGAAGAAGGGCCAUUCCGAGCAUUUCGAAUGUCACCUUAUGCCGUCAAAUCAAUACGUCAAUGCGUCUCCCGUACGUCAGUACAGCUUCAAUACGUCAUCAUUACUGACAAUAACCUGUACUCGUCAGUUUGACUGUGGCUUAAGACGCACUGCGACUAUUUUACUGUGUUGUGACUAUUAAUACUGACAGCAUUUUAAUGGGUUGAGUUGUUUGCAUGUUUCGUACUGUAUCUAAGAUUCUGUGGCGUGUCAGUUUUCACUCGCAAGCUAUUUAGUAUUUACUAACCUGUUUGUUUAAUAAGCUAACAUUGUUAAUGGGAUAGGAGGUUAUUUGAUUAAGAGAGCA